This is a transfer RNA of Leucosporidium creatinivorum, 84 nucleotides long. It matches the Rfam family "tRNA". From Rfam's summary of the family: Transfer RNA (tRNA) molecules are approximately 80 nucleotides in length. Their secondary structure includes four short double-helical elements and three loops (D, anti-codon, and T loops). NCBI's taxonomy places the organism in Eukaryota, Fungi, Basidiomycota, Microbotryomycetes, Leucosporidiales, Leucosporidiaceae. The record is from Rfam.
GACGCAGUGGUUUAGUGGCAAAAUUGGGCAUUGCCAUUUAGAUGACAUCUUGCCUAGCCCCGGGUUCAAUUCCCGGCUGCGUCA